GUCUAUGGCCAUGCCACCCUGAACAAGCCCGCUGUCUGAUCUCGGAAGCUAAGCAGAGUUGGGCCUGGUUAGUACUUGGAUGGGAGACCACCUAGGAAGACCAGGUGCUGUAGGCA
Molecule: ribosomal RNA, 116 nt
Filed under: Pteropus alecto (black flying fox)
Lineage: Eukaryota; Metazoa; Chordata; Mammalia; Chiroptera; Pteropodidae
Source: RNAcentral